UUGCCUUAGUAGCGGCGAGUGAAGCGGCAAAAGCUCAAAUUUGAAAUCUGGCUCUUUCAGAGUCCGAGUUGUAAUUUGAAGAAGGUAUCUUUGGGUCUGGCUCUUGUCUAUGUUUCUUGGAACAGAACGUCACAGAGGGUGAGAAUCCCGUGCGAUGAGAUGAUCCAGGCCUAUGUAAAGUUCCUUCGAAGAGUCGAGUUGUUUGGGAAUGCAGCUCUAAGUGGGUGGUAAAUUCCAUCUAAAGCUAAAUAUUGGCGAGAGACCGAUAGCGAACAAGUACAGUGAUGGAAAGAUGAAAAGAACUUUGAAAAGAGAGUGAAAAAGUACGUGAAAUUGUUGAAAGGGAAGGGCUUGAGAUCAGACUUGGUAUUUUGUAUGUUACUUCUUCGGGGGUGGCCUCUACAGUUUAUCGGGCCAGCAUCAGUUUGGGCGGUAGGAGAAUUGCGUUGGAAUGUGGCACGGCUUUCGGUUGUGUGUUAUAGCCCUUCGUCGAUACUGCAGCCUAGACUGAGGAACUKGCGCUUAUACUAGAUGGUGGCAUAUGAUCUAGUCGCCGCU
Molecule: ribosomal RNA, 558 nt
Filed under: Candida tropicalis
Lineage: Eukaryota; Fungi; Ascomycota; Pichiomycetes; Serinales; Debaryomycetaceae
Description: partial large subunit ribosomal RNA
Source: RNAcentral